UGGGGCGUCGCCAAGCGGCUAGGCACCUGGUUUUGAUCCAGGCAUACGUAGGUUCGAAUCCUACCGCCCCAG
This 72-nucleotide transfer RNA is filed under the name Sedimenticola thiotaurini. It matches the Rfam family "tRNA". From Rfam's summary of the family: Transfer RNA (tRNA) molecules are approximately 80 nucleotides in length. Their secondary structure includes four short double-helical elements and three loops (D, anti-codon, and T loops). Lineage: Bacteria; Pseudomonadati; Pseudomonadota; Gammaproteobacteria; Chromatiales; Sedimenticolaceae. The record is from Rfam by way of RNAcentral.